UACGAAGGGGGCUAGCGUUGUUCGGAAUUACUGGGCGUAAAGGGCGCGUAGGCGGUGCAUCAAGUCAGGCGUGAAAGCCCUCGGCUUAACCGAGGAAGUGCAUUCGAAACUACUGGACUUGAAUACUGGAGAGGAUCGCGGAAUUCCCGGUGUAGAGGUGAAAUUCGUAGAUAUCGGGAGGAACACCAGUGGCGAAGGCGGCGAUCUGGACAGAUAUUGACGCUGAGGUGCGAAAGCGUGGGGAGCAAACAGG
Molecule: ribosomal RNA, 253 nt
Filed under: uncultured bacterium
Lineage: Bacteria
Description: partial 16S ribosomal RNA
Rfam family: Bacterial small subunit ribosomal RNA
Source: RNAcentral